UACGGAAGGCAGCAGUGGGGAAUAUUGCACAAUGGGCGAAAGCCUGAUGCAGCUAUGCCGCGUGUAUGAAGAAGGCCUUAGGGUUGUAAAGUACUUUCAUCGGGGAGGAAAAACAAAACUAAUAAUUUUAUUUCUUGACGUUACCCGAAAAAGAAGCACCGGCUAACUCCGUGCCAGCAGCCGCGGUAAUACGGGGGUGCUAGCGUUAAUCAGAAUUACUGGGCGUAAAGAGCACGUAGGUGGUUUUUUUAAGUCAGAUGUGAAAUCCCUGGGCUUAACCUAGGAACUGCAUUUUGAAACUGAAAUACUAGAGUAUCGUAGAGGGAGGUAGAAUUCUAGGUGUAGCGGUGAAAUGCGUAGAUAUCUGGAGGAAUACCUGUGGCGAAAGCGGCCUCCUAAACGAAUACUGACACUGAGGGUGCGAAAGCGUGGGGAGCGAAACAGGGAUUAGAUACC
Molecule: ribosomal RNA, 456 nt
Filed under: uncultured bacterium
Lineage: Bacteria
Description: bacterial SSU rRNA
Rfam family: Bacterial small subunit ribosomal RNA
Source: RNAcentral